GGUAAUUUCAGAAGAUCAUUCAAAGAAAGUUGACAUCAUUGCUUGGCAUUCAAUUACAUGCCAUGUUCCAUUCAGACCAACUUAUGAUAAUUUAGUCAUCAUUUGGCAUGUGAGAACAGGGAAGUCAUUUAUAAACUUGAAUGGUAUGCAUUCAGAUGUAGUUAACAAUGUGAGCUAGAAUCAGCAUAGCAGCCAGAUCCCCAUUUUCCAAAGACAAGAAAGUGAGAGAAAUUGAUUCUAGAAAAAAAGAAAUUGUUACUGGGAAGGAGAGAAUACAAGAAAGAGCCUAGCGGAGAAUCAUUUUUUUUAGUAGACGGAAGUGUGUUCAUUACUGAUUUCAACCCUAGGAGCAAGUGGCAGCUUAUAUUUUGCAGUUCAAAAAAUAUUCAGGAACUAUUUAACCUUCCUGGAAUGGAUACAGACAAUGGGUGUUGUUGCUAUUCUAUGAUCCUAACACAAGUAUUAUUUUAUAUAUUGAGAAGGAAACUGUGGUAUCUGCCAAUGUGAGACUGUGCCUGCAUCACAUAUGUCCAACGGUAGCAAAGACCCAUACCUAAAAGAGGAUGCGUUGUUAACAAAUAGGAGAUGGCCAAAUUCUUCAAAAUCCAAAAGAGAAGUUAGAUGUCAAUUUAUGUGACUAUUCUUAGAAGUUUAACCUUUUCCAGUAAGACCUAUAUUCAGGUACUGUGGGAUCUUAAGCAGUUCUAGAAUGUUAAGAAUGGUUGAAGGGUAAAUAAUAAGAAGAAUAAUUCUUAUAAGCUUGAAACAUGCGUAUGUUACAGAAUAAAAUAACAAUCCCAGG
RNAcentral lists this long non-coding RNA (802 nucleotides) under Homo sapiens (human). RNAcentral describes it as "non-protein coding lnc-ITM2A-2:1". Lineage: Eukaryota; Metazoa; Chordata; Mammalia; Primates; Hominidae. The record is from RNAcentral.